Non-coding RNA from Salmo salar (Atlantic salmon), 990 nucleotides. The record is from RefSeq and is a predicted model, not a curated record. Lineage: Eukaryota; Metazoa; Chordata; Actinopteri; Salmoniformes; Salmonidae.
AGGAGAGGCUGGUUCUGUUGUUUGUGCAGGAGGGCUUUCUGUAAGGCAGAAGCACAAACACACAGUCAGGUCAUAUCUUAACCUUAAAUCACAUGGUGGAGGAAAAACUCAGAACUCUACAUGUCAGACUAGCCUAGGCCUGUCCGGACCCUGUUACCUGUCUGGCUGUGAGCAGUGACUCAUCGACCUCCUUCUUCAGCUCUCCGUUGUCGUCCAACUCUCCUUUCUCCAGGGCGUCCAGCCACUUCUCCUCCUCGUCCACCGGCCCCCCCAGUCCUCCCAGGGAGUCAGAGUCCAUGUCUGGCAGAGGAGACGGGUCCAGGUUACUGUCCUCAUCUAGAGACAAGAAACAGAAAGACAAGUGUAUGGUCAAGAUAUUAGAAUGGCAUGGCUGCGAUCCAAAUUUUUACAAAUUAAUUAAAAAUAAAGCUGAAAUGUCUUCAGUCAAUAAGUAUUCAACUCCUUUGUUAAAGCAAGCCUAAAUAAGUUCAGAAGUAAAAAUGUGCUUAAAAAGUAUCCCAAUAAGUUGCAUGGACUCACUCUGUAUGCAAUAACAGGGUUUAACAUGAUUUUUGAACAACUACCUCAUCUCUGUACCCCACAUAUACAAUUAUCUGUAAGGUCCCUCAGUCCAGCAGUGAAUUUCAAACAUUCAACCACAAAGACCAGGGAGGUGUUACAAUGCCUCGCUAAGAAGGGCACGCCAUUGGUAGAUCGGUUAAAAAAAACAAUCUAAGCAGACACUGAAUAUCCCUUUGAGCAUGGCGAAGUUAUUCAUUAUACUUUGGAUGGUGUAUCAAUACACCCAGUCAAUACAAAUAUACAGGUGUCCUUCCUAACUGAGUUGCCAGAAAGGAAGGAAACCGCUCAGGGAUUUCACCGUGAGGCCAAUGGUUAGUUUAAAACAGUUACAGAGUUUAAUGGCUGUGAUAGAAAAACUGAGGCUGGAUCAACAACGUUGUAAUUACUCCACAAUACUAACCUAAUUGA